This is an unclassified non-coding RNA of Macaca fascicularis (crab-eating macaque), 147 nucleotides long. It matches the Rfam family "Metazoan signal recognition particle RNA". From Rfam's summary of the family: The signal recognition particle (SRP) is a universally conserved ribonucleoprotein. NCBI's taxonomy places the organism in Eukaryota, Metazoa, Chordata, Mammalia, Primates, Cercopithecidae. The record is from Ensembl.
GCCAGGUGUGGUGGCGUGCACCUGUAGUCCUAGCUACUCAGGAGGCUGUGGCAGGAGGAUCACUUGUUCCUAGGAGUUUAGGGCUGCAGUGAGCUAUGACUGCACCACUGCACUCCAGCCUAGGAGACAAGCGAGAACCUGUCUCUA